UGGACAGAUUAUUGUAUUCGACUAUAUUCACGGCGUGAAACAAGGGAUUACACUGUUUUUAAACGGAAAGUGAAUUAAUUAACAUAAUAUACUCAU
Molecule: microRNA precursor, 96 nt
Filed under: Nicotiana sylvestris (wood tobacco)
Lineage: Eukaryota; Viridiplantae; Streptophyta; Magnoliopsida; Solanales; Solanaceae
Also listed under: 1 other name
Description: MIR6152 microRNA precursor family
Rfam family: MIR6152 microRNA precursor family
Source: Rfam by way of RNAcentral